CCUACGGGAGGCAGCAGUGGGGGAUAUUGCACAAUGGAGGAAACACUGAUGCAGCGACGCCGCGUGAGGGAAGACGGUCUUCGGAUCGUAAACCUCUGUCAGCAGGGGAGAACGGUCACUGUGCUAAUCAGCAGUGAAUUGACGGUACCUGCAAGGGAAGCACCGGCUAACUCCGUGCCAGCGGCCGCGGUAAUACAUGGGAUGCAAGCGUUAUCCGGAUUUACUGGGCGAAAAGCGAGCGCAGGCGGGUUUACAAGUUUGGUAUGAAGGGCUUUUGCUUAACGAAAGAUUGUAUCAAAAACUGUUAAUCUAGAGUGUAGUAGAGAGUGCUGGAAUUCCAGGUGGAGCGGUGGAAUGCGUAGAUAUAUGGAAGAACACCAGUGGCGAAGGCGAGAACUUAGGCUAUCACUGACGCUUAGGCUCGAAAGCGUGGGUAUCAAACAGGAUUAGAUACCCGUGUAGUC
Molecule: ribosomal RNA, 464 nt
Filed under: uncultured bacterium
Lineage: Bacteria
Description: partial 16S ribosomal RNA
Rfam family: Bacterial small subunit ribosomal RNA
Source: RNAcentral